UUAUGGAGUGGGCUUUCAUGCAGUUUUAGGUGCUUCUACGUUGAUUCAAAUUCUGGUCUGUAUGAACAAUCCAGUUUUUUACUAUUUUACUUUGCUAGAAUAUCAAAUUUCAGUCUACGUUGUGUUCCUUUUAUUCAUACAGAGAUUCUAUUUCUUUCCAUACGGAAGCUUGCAAGGUUUUGCUUUUGAAUUCUUCCCACCCAAUGUGCUUUCUUCUGCCAUAUCACUAUUUAACAGUAUAAUCUUGUUAAGU
Molecule: long non-coding RNA, 253 nt
Filed under: Lupinus angustifolius (narrow-leaved blue lupine)
Lineage: Eukaryota; Viridiplantae; Streptophyta; Magnoliopsida; Fabales; Fabaceae
Description: long non-coding RNA (LANG_LNC002802)
Source: RNAcentral